RNAcentral lists this transfer RNA (68 nucleotides) under Stenophyella macreta. Its description in RNAcentral is "tRNA-Ala". The record is from RNAcentral. Lineage: Eukaryota; Metazoa; Arthropoda; Insecta; Hemiptera; Pachygronthidae.
GGGGGUGUAGUUAAAUAAUUAACACUUAAUUUGCAAUUAAGAGAAGCUAAAUAAAUAAGCCUCCCUCA